GCUUGUCUCAAAGAUUAAGCCAUGCAUGUUCAAGUAUAGCAAGUGUACAGUGAAACUGCGAAUGGCUCAUUAAAUCAGUUAUAAUUUAUUUGAUAGUGAAAUUGUACAUGGAUAACCGUGGUAAUUCUAGAGCUAAUACAUGCGUCAAGACCUGACUUUUCGGAAGGGUUGUGUUUAUUAGAUAAAAAGCCAAUCCAUGCUCUGCAUGGUAUUGUGGUGACUCAUAAUAACCGAUCGAAUCGCAUGGCGUAAGCCGGCGAUAAAUCAUUCAAGUUUCUGACCUAUCAGCUUCCGACGGUAGGGUAUUGGCCUACCGUGGCUAUGACGGGUAACGGGGAAUUAGGGUUCGAUUCCGGAGAGGGAGCCUGAGAAACGGCUACCACAUCUAAGGAAGGCAGCAGG
Molecule: ribosomal RNA, 402 nt
Filed under: uncultured Colpodellidae
Lineage: Eukaryota; Colpodellaceae
Description: partial small subunit ribosomal RNA
Rfam family: Eukaryotic small subunit ribosomal RNA
Source: RNAcentral